This 915-nucleotide ribosomal RNA is filed under the name Cystinarius paurigarhwalensis. RNAcentral describes it as "Cortinarius sp. BD-2019b partial large subunit ribosomal RNA". It matches the Rfam family "Eukaryotic large subunit ribosomal RNA", at positions 75 to 965 of the family's 3401-position model. The record is from RNAcentral. Lineage: Eukaryota; Fungi; Basidiomycota; Agaricomycetes; Agaricales; Cortinariaceae.
UUCCCCUAGUAACUGCGAGUGAAGCGGGAAAAGCUCAAAUUUAAAAUCUGGUAGUCUUUGUGGCUAUCCKAGUUGUAAUCUAGAGAAGUGUUAUCCGCGCUGGACCGUGUAUAAGUCUCCUGGAAUGSAGCGUCAUAGAGGGUGAGAAUCCCGUCUUUGACACGGACUGCCAGGGCUUUWGUGAUGCACUCUCAAAGAGUCKAGUUGUUUGGGAAUGCAGCUCARAAUGGGUGGUAAAUUCCAUCUAAAGCUAAAUAUUGGCGAGAGACCGAUAGCGAACAAGUACCGUGAGGGAAAGAUGAAAAGAACUUUGGAAAGAGAGUUAAACAGUACGUGAAAUUGCUGAAAGGGAAACGCUUGAAGUCAGUCGCGUUGUCCAGGAAUCAACCUUGCUUUUGCUUGGUGUACUUUCUGGUUGACGGGUCAACAUCAAUUUUAAUCAUUGGAGACAUCUUAAUGGAAUGUAGCAUCUUUGGAUGUGUUAUAGCCUUUAUUUUAUAUACAAUGGUUGGGAUUGAGGAACUCAGCACGCCAUAAGGCCGAGUUUUGUUACAAAACUACGUACGUGCUUAGGAUGUUGGCAUAAUGGCUUUAAUCGACCCGUCUUGAAACACGGACCAAGGAGUCUAACAUAUCUGCAAGUGUUUGGGUGGAAAACCCAAGUGCGUAAUGAAAGUGAAAGUUGAGAUCCCUGUCAUGGGGAGCAUCGACGCCCAGACCAGACCUUCUGUGACGGUWCUGCGGUAGAGCAUGUAUGUUGGGACCCGAAAGAUGGUGAACUAUGCCUGAAUAGGGUGAAGCCAGAGGAAACUCUGGUGGAGGCUCGUAGCGAUUCUGACGUGCAAAUCGAUCGUCAAAUUUGGGUAUAGGGGCGAAAGACYUAAUCGAAMCAUCUAGUAGCUGGUUCCUGCCGAA